This 444-nucleotide ribosomal RNA is filed under the name uncultured bacterium. RNAcentral describes it as "partial 16S ribosomal RNA". It matches the Rfam family "Bacterial small subunit ribosomal RNA", at positions 354 to 796 of the family's 1533-position model. The record is from RNAcentral.
GUAGGGAAUAUUGGGCAAUGGUCGGAAGACUGACCCAGCCAUGCCGAGUGCAGGAAGACGGCCCUCUGGGUUGUAAACUGCUUUUAUCUGGGAAGAAAAAGGCCAUGCGUGGCAAAUUGCCGGUACCAGAUGAAUAAGCACCGGCUAACUCCGUGCCAGCAGCCGCGGUAAUACGGAGGGUGCGAGCGUUGUCCGGAUUUAUUGGGUUUAAAGGGUGCGUAGGCGGCUGAUUAAGUCAGCGGUGAAAGACUUCGGCUUAACCGGAGCAGUGCCGUUGAUACUGGUUGGCUUGAGUGUCGGAGGGGUACAUGGAAUUGAUGGUGUAGCGGUGAAAUGCAUAGAUACCAUCAGGAACACCGAUAGCGAAGGCAUUGUACUGGCCGACAACUGACGCUGAUGCACGAAAGUGUGGGGAUCGAACAGGAUUAGAAACCCCAGUAGUCC